GGCCCCUGGCAAUGGCAAAGAGACACCUUGGUGGUGGUGGUGGUGUUCUUAUGUCAGUCAGGGGCAGAGCAGAUGGCUGUCCUUUGUUCAUCCUAGCUUGAUGCCUGGCUUGGAGGCCAAAGCUGUCUUAUGCCUAGGACUCAUAA
Molecule: small nucleolar RNA, 146 nt
Organism: Meriones unguiculatus (Mongolian gerbil)
Lineage: Eukaryota; Metazoa; Chordata; Mammalia; Rodentia; Muridae
Product: small nucleolar RNA SNORA48
Exons: 1
Source: RefSeq, a predicted model, not a curated record